This 372-nucleotide ribosomal RNA is filed under the name uncultured organism. RNAcentral describes it as "bacterial SSU rRNA". It matches the Rfam family "Bacterial small subunit ribosomal RNA", at positions 528 to 896 of the family's 1533-position model. The record is from RNAcentral.
GGGGGGGCAAGCGUUGUUCGGAUUUACUGGGCGUAAAGGGCGCGUAGGCGGCCACCGCAAGUCGACUGUGAAAUCUCCGGGCUUAACCCGGAAAGGUCAGCCGAUACUGCGGGGCUAGAGUGCAGAAGGGGCAACUGGAAUUCUCGGUGUAGCGGUGAAAUGCGUAGAUAUCGAGAGGAACACCUGCGGCGAAGGCGGGUUGCUGGGCUGACACUGACGCUGAUGCGCGAAAGCUAGGGGAGCGAACGGGAUUAGAUACCCCGGUAGUCCUAGCCUUAAACGAUGAAUGCUUGGUGUCUGGGGUUUUAUAGUCCCCGGGUGCCGUCGCUAACGCUUUAAGCAUUCCGCCUGGGGAGUACGGUCGCAAGACUG